GGCCGCGUCGAACUGGUCGUCGUCGAGGCCCGCCGCGAGCUCGUCGAGCCCCGCGCGCGACGCGUCGAUGAACUGCCGCGCGACCGCACCGCCCGUCAUCGGGCCGGCCUCGCCGUCGAUCAGGCUGCGAAUGCGCUGCUGGUAGCUCUGCACGGUCGGGUUCUGGCCCGUAUAGGCGUCCUUGAACACCGCCUGCAGAUCGGAAAAGCCGGAAAAGCCGAAGCGCUGCGCGAAGCGCACGACGGCGGACGGAUGCACGCCGCAGCGCUGCGCGAUGUCGCUCGUGCGGUCCAUCAUCACGCUCGAGCGGUGCUCGUCGAUAUACGAGGCGAUGCGCUUCAACUGGCGCGGCAGCGUGUCGUAGGCGCCGGCGAUCCGUUGCAGCAGAUCGUCGACGGCCGGCGUCUCCGGGGGGGUCGUGUCGUCCAUGUCGCUCCGUCGGCCCGGCCGCCCGCCCACGCGCGUCGCGCGCGGCGGGCAAGCGCCGGACGCCUUGCUCCGUGUCUUGUCGUGCAGCGAGUAUAGGCACUGCGUCCACAAAAUGGAACAGAUUUUCCAUCUCACGAACAAAUAAAAUUUUCUUUGCAAUCGGCGGCGAGUUGACCUAACCUUGCUCGUGAACGCGGCCCGACCCGCGUUCGCCCGAAAACGACAGACAGAGAAAGGUGGAGACAUGAGACUUUGCACUGGCAAGGCCGUCCUGCGCGCAUGCGUCGCCGCGAUCGCCGUCGCGGCGGGCGUGGGCGGCGCGGCCCCGGCAGCCCAGGCGGCGGGCGCGCGCUUCGCGCUCGUGAGCCACGCGCCCGAUUCCGAUUCGUGGUGGAACACGAUCAAGAACGCGAUCAAGCAGGCGGACGAGGAUUUCGAUGUCACGACCGAUUACCGCAAUCCGCCGAACGGCGACAUCGCCGACAUGGCGCGCCUGAUCGAGCAAUCGGCCGCGCGCGACUACGACGGCGUGAUCACGACGAUCGCCGAUUACGACGUGCUGAAGAAUUCGCUGAAGAAAGUCACCGCGAAGAAGAUCCCGCUCGUGACGAUCAACUCCGGCACCGAAGAACAGAGCGCGCAACUGGGCGCGAUCAUGCAUGUCGGCCAGCCCGAGUACGUCGCGGGUCACGCGGCGGGCGAGAAGGCGAAGGCGGCCGGCGUGAAGCGCUUCCUCUGCGUGAACCACAUCGCGACCAACAGCGUGUCGUUCGACCGCUGUCGCGGCUUCGCCGACGCGAUCGGCGCCGACUACAAGAGCUCGACGAUCGACUCCGGCCAGGACCCGACCGAGAUCCAGUCGAAGGUGAGCGCGUACCUGCGCAACCAUCCGAACACGCAGGCGAUCCUCACGCUCGGCCCGGUGCCCGCCGCGGCGUCGCUGAAGGCGGUGCAGCAGAUGGGCCUCGCGAACAAGCUGUUCUUCGCGACGUUCGAUUUCUCCGACGACAUCGCGAAGGCGAUCC
RNAcentral lists this ribosomal RNA (1454 nucleotides) under Burkholderia mallei 2002721280. RNAcentral's name for it is "16S ribosomal RNA". The record is from RNAcentral. Lineage: Bacteria; Pseudomonadati; Pseudomonadota; Betaproteobacteria; Burkholderiales; Burkholderiaceae.